GAAAAACUUAUGUUGUUCAAGCUGGCAGAUAUGAUGGUCUCUGUAUUAUUAACAGGAGGGCCUUUGCAAGUUCUUCCAGCAGGGAGGCAAGGCAAGACAUUUAAAGAGAUAGCUAUGAAAAUAUGCCUAGUAAUAUUUUUGGGAACGUUUAUAGGGUGCUGUGGAGUUGCUAAGCUUUUUAAAGAAGCAGUGAAGUUUAAGGCAGCAGUUGCAUUGCGUAGUUCAGGAAGAGUUGGAGAAGGAA
RNAcentral lists this unclassified non-coding RNA (244 nucleotides) under Hevea brasiliensis (rubber tree). Lineage: Eukaryota; Viridiplantae; Streptophyta; Magnoliopsida; Malpighiales; Euphorbiaceae. The record is from RNAcentral.